This 456-nucleotide ribosomal RNA is filed under the name uncultured bacterium. Its description in RNAcentral is "bacterial SSU rRNA". It matches the Rfam family "Bacterial small subunit ribosomal RNA", at positions 28 to 510 of the family's 1533-position model. The record is from RNAcentral.
GAUGAACGCUGGCGGCGUGCCUAACACAUGCAAGUCGAGCGAUUUACUUCGGUAAAGAGCGGCGGACGGGUGAGUAACGCGUGGGUAACCUGCCCUGUACACACGGAUAACAUACCGAAAGGUAUGCUAAUACGAGAUAAUAUACUUUUAUCUCAUGGUAGAAGUAUCAAAGCUCUGGCGGUACAGGAUGGACCCGCGUCUGAUUAGCUAGUUGGUAAGGUAACGGCUUACCAAGGCGACGAUCAGUAGCCGACCUGAGAGGGUGAUCGGCCACAUUGGAACUGAGACACGGUCCAAACUCCUACGGGAGGCAGCAGUGGGGAAUAUUGCACAAUGGGCGAAAGCCUGAUGCAGCAACGCCGCGUGAGCGAUGAAGGCCUUCGGGUCGUAAAGACUCUGUCCUCAAGGAAGAUAAUGACGGUACUUGAGGAGGAAGCCCGGCGUAACUACGUAGCC